Molecule: ribosomal RNA, 253 nt
Filed under: uncultured bacterium
Lineage: Bacteria
Description: partial 16S ribosomal RNA
Rfam family: Bacterial small subunit ribosomal RNA
Source: RNAcentral
UACGGAGGGUGCAAGCGUUAUCCGGAUUCACUGGGUUUAAAGGGUGCGUAGGUGGGUCUGUAAGUCCGUGGUGAAAUCUCCGAGCUUAACUUGGAAACUGCCAUGGAUACUAUAGGUCUUGAAUACUGUGGAGGUCAGCGGAAUAUGUCAUGUAGCGGUGAAAUGCUUAGAUAUGACAUAGAACACCAAUUGCGAAGGCAGCUGGCUGCACAAAUAUUGACACUGAUGGACGAAAGCGUGGGGAUCAAACAGG